This 28-nucleotide non-coding RNA is filed under the name Mus musculus (house mouse). The record is from RNAcentral. Lineage: Eukaryota; Metazoa; Chordata; Mammalia; Rodentia; Muridae.
UGGCAGGUGGAAGCCUUGUAGGAAGGAU